AGUGAACGCUGGCGGUAGGCCUAACACAUGCAAGUCGAACGGCAGCACAGGAGAGCUUGCUCUCUGGGUGGCGAGUGGCGGACGGGUGAGGAAUACAUCGGAAUCUGCCCAGUCGUGGGGGAUAACGUAGGGAAACUUACGCUAAUACCGCAUACGACCUUCGGGUGAAAGAGGGGGAUCGCAAGACCUCUCGCGAUUGGAUGAGCCGAUGUUGGAUUAGCGAGUUGGCGGGGUAAUGGCCCACCAAGGCGACGAUCCGUAGAUGGUCUGAGAGGAUGAUCAGCCACACUGGAACUGAGACACGGUCCAGACUCCUACGGGAGGCAGCAGUGGGGAAUAUUGGACAAUGGGCGCAAGCCUGAUCCAGCCAUACCGCGUGGGUGAAGAAGGCCUUCGGGUUGUAAAGCCCUUUUGUUGGGAAAGAAAUCUUUCAGGCUAAUACCCUGGGAGGAUGACGGUACCCAAAGAAUAAGCACCGGCUAACUUCGUG
This 490-nucleotide ribosomal RNA is filed under the name uncultured bacterium. RNAcentral's name for it is "partial 16S ribosomal RNA". It matches the Rfam family "Bacterial small subunit ribosomal RNA", at positions 29 to 507 of the family's 1533-position model. The record is from RNAcentral.